GGCUCAGAUUGAACGCUGGCGGAAUGCUUUACACAUGCAAGUCGAACGGUAGAGGGGGCAACCCCUUGAGAGUGGCGAACGGGUGAGUAAUAUAUCGGAACGUGCCCAGUCGUGGGGGAUAACGUAGCGAAAGCUACGCUAAUACCGCAUACGAUCUAUGGAUGAAAGCGGGGGAUCGCAAGACCUCGCGCGAUUGGAGCGGCCGAUAUCAGAUUAGGUAGUUGGUGAGGUAAAGGCUCACCAAGCCGACGAUCUGUAGCUGGUCUGAGAGGACGACCAGCCACACUGGGACUGAGACACGGCCCAGACUCCUACGGGAGGCAGCAGUGGGAAUUUUGGACAAUGGGCGCAAGCCUGAUCCAGCAAUGCCGCGUGCAGGAUGAAGGCCUUCGGGUUGUAAACUGCUUUGUACGGAACGAAACGGUGAGCUCUAAUACAGUUUGCUAAUGACGGUACCGUAAGAAUAAGCACCGGCUAACUACGUG
This 485-nucleotide ribosomal RNA is filed under the name uncultured bacterium. Its description in RNAcentral is "bacterial SSU rRNA". It matches the Rfam family "Bacterial small subunit ribosomal RNA", at positions 21 to 507 of the family's 1533-position model. The record is from RNAcentral.